This is a non-coding RNA of Saimiri boliviensis boliviensis (Bolivian squirrel monkey), 849 nucleotides long. The record is from RefSeq and is a predicted model, not a curated record. NCBI's taxonomy places the organism in Eukaryota, Metazoa, Chordata, Mammalia, Primates, Cebidae.
AGGUGUGUGGUUAAUAAACCAGGUCUAAAUAUUUCCAGGCUACUGGUGGGUCAGGCACGCACUGACAGCAAUGUUGUGGAUGGUGAUACUGGCUUUGAACAUGGAAGAAAACAAGGUCUGGUCUCCUUUUUUCACCCAGACGGUGUCGACGAGCUGACCUAGGAGAUAACAGGACAGAUAUAGAAACCAAAGCUGAGAGCGGGAGAUAACUAUCCCAAAAGCACCACGUCGGUGGGGAGCUGGGUUGCCAGAGAAAACACAGGACAUCCAGUGAAGUCAGGUGCCUCCUGACCCAGAAGACCCCCAUGAGCCCAGAUCCCUGAGACCUGGUGGCUGCCAUUAUGACAUUCCCCGACUGCAUCUUAGGACCCAAGUCUGACCCCCUGCAGGAUCUGCAGCUGUGUUACAGGAAAGGGGACCCGAUCCAGACCCCAAGGGAGGGUUCUUGAAUCUCGUGCAAGAAACAACUCGGGAUGCAGUUGCUGUGGUUCACACACCUCUGGCAGCUGGGCUCCUUGGGAUCUCCUGACAUUCUGUGCCCUCUGUGCCCUCCUCCCUCACUGCCAUCGCUGUCUUCCUGAGCCUCCUCCUUCUGAAUUUCUUCAUCACCAAGAAGAGGAAUCGCUGUUAGGUUUGGCUUUUGGGAAAGGGAUGGACCAGGCAGGCAGUAGGGAGGGAGACACAGGCCCUGGCAUGGGCGAUGGGGAGGGGAGAGCUGAGUGGGAGCCGGUGGGUCUGUCUUUGUUCUUGUCUCUGUGAGUUGCCCAUUGUGCAGAUCUGCCCCGCUCCUUCCCCAUCGCAAUGGAUGGGGACUCCUCUCUCUAGUGUUCAGGCCCCGGGCCCUGGGUC